CCGACAAGCGGCGGAGCAUGUGGAUUAAUUCGAUGCAACGCGAAGAACCUUACCUAGGCUUGACAUAUACAGGACGACGGCAGAGAUUGUCGUUUCCCUUGUGGCUUGUAUACAGGUGGUGCAUGGUUGUCGUCAGCUCGUGUCGUGAGAUGUUGGGUUAAGUCCCGCAACGAGCGCAACCCCUGUCUCAUGUUGCCAGCACGUAAUGGUGGGGACUCGUGAGAGACUGCCGGGGUCAACUCGGAGGAAGGUGGGAUGACGUCAAAUCAUCAUGCCCCUUAUGUCUAGGGCUUCACACAUGCUACAAUGGCUAGUACAGAGGGCUGCGAUACCGCGAGGUGGAGCGAAUCCCUUAAAGCUGGUCUCAGUUCGGAUUGGGGUCUGCAACUCGACCCCAUGAAGUCGGAGUCGCUAGUAAUCGCAGAUCAGCAACGCUGCGGUGAAUACGUUCCCGGGCCUU
RNAcentral lists this ribosomal RNA (460 nucleotides) under uncultured Dietzia sp. RNAcentral's name for it is "bacterial SSU rRNA". It matches the Rfam family "Bacterial small subunit ribosomal RNA", at positions 921 to 1382 of the family's 1533-position model. Lineage: Bacteria; Bacillati; Actinomycetota; Actinomycetes; Mycobacteriales; Dietziaceae. The record is from RNAcentral.